UAGCAAUCAGCGAGACUCCGUGGGGUAGGACCCUCCGAGCCAGGUGGGAGAUAUAAUCUCUUGGUGCGCUGUUUUUUAAGCCCGUCGGAAAAGCGCAGUAUUAGGGUGGGAGUGACCCGAUUUUCCAGGUGCGGUCUGUUACCCUUUUCUUUGACUAGGAAAGGGAACUCCCUGACCCCUUGCGCUUCCCACUGACCUGCGCCCACUGUCUGGCACUCCCUAGUGAGAUGAACCCGGUACCUCAGAUGGAAAUGCAGAAAUCACCCGUCUUCUGUGUCGCUCACCCUGGGAGCUGUAGACCGGAGCUGUUCCUAUGCAGCCAUCUUGGCUGCCACCUCUGAAAUGAGAAAACCAAGAAAUUAAAGAAGAGGGCUGAAUCCACUCAUACUGGAUGGAAGAAGAAAAGAUGACUUAUCUGCUGAGAAGCUUAUGAGUGGCUACAAGGAGUCUCACUGUGUAACCAAGUCUGGUCUCCAAUUCCUGGCCUCAAGUGAUCCUCCCAUCUGGACCUCCCAAAGCACUGGGAUUACAGAGAUUUGAAGAAGCAAACUGGGCUAUUGUCAGCAUCUGUGUGGAGAGGUUCAGAUGACAAGGAACUGAGGACUGCCUCUGAUCAACAGCCCGGAAGAAAGAGAUAUCUUUUCUCAGCAAGUAGCAGUUCUUUUCUACAGUCAAGCCUCAGUUCAUCCUAUUUCCAACUGUCUGGAAGAAUGGUCCACAAAGGAGCCACGAUAAGAUGACUGAAAAGAAACCUCCAGUGAUCAUCCCCCCACAGGGGGAAAACAAAAUUGAACAACUAUUCAUGCAAGAAAGCACCUUCAUAAGAACUAA
This 831-nucleotide long non-coding RNA is filed under the name Homo sapiens (human). Its description in RNAcentral is "HSALNT0210031". The record is from RNAcentral. Lineage: Eukaryota; Metazoa; Chordata; Mammalia; Primates; Hominidae.